This is a non-coding RNA of Aspergillus nidulans FGSC A4, 71 nucleotides long. The record is from Rfam. NCBI's taxonomy places the organism in Eukaryota, Fungi, Ascomycota, Eurotiomycetes, Eurotiales, Aspergillaceae.
GGAGUUUGAGCAAAUGGUUUUGCGUUUUGAUUGCAAAUUGAAAUAUAGGGAUUCGAUUUCCCCGGACUCCU